RNAcentral lists this ribosomal RNA (393 nucleotides) under uncultured bacterium. RNAcentral's name for it is "partial 16S ribosomal RNA". It matches the Rfam family "Bacterial small subunit ribosomal RNA", at positions 523 to 918 of the family's 1533-position model. The record is from RNAcentral.
AUACGGAGGAUCCGAGCGUUAUCCGGAUUUAUUGGGUUUAAAGGGAGCGUAGGCGGACGCUUAAGUCAGUUGUGAAAGUUUGCGGCUCAACCGUAAAAUUGCAGUUGAUACUGGGUGUCUUGAGUACAGUAGAGGCAGGCGGAAUUCGUGGUGUAGCGGUGAAAUGCUUAGAUAUCACGAAGAAAUCCGAUUGCGAAGGCAGCCUGCUGGACUGUAACUGACGCUGAUGCUCGAAAGUGUGGGUAUCAAACAGGAUUAGAUACCCUGGUAGUCCACACAGUAAACGAUGAAUACUCGCUGUUUGCGAUAUACAGUAAGCGGCCAAGCGAAAGCGUUAAGUAUUCCACCUGGGGAGUACGCCGGCAACGGUGAAACUCAAAUGAAUUGGCGGGG